AUCAAGUGGCUUUGGUGUGUAUUCUUGUGCUACAUCUUGUAGCAAGUCUCAUUCGUAUGACCACGUUUCUUACAAUAGUUACAGAACAUAGAAGAAUCUCCUUUACUAGGCUACACCGAUGUUAAAACCAAGGGAGCCACAUGUGAUUGUGUCACUACAAGAGAUGACACAUUGGACGCCCCUCCCUAGAUAGGCAUAGAACGAGAGCUCCCAAU
Molecule: long non-coding RNA, 215 nt
Filed under: Spirodela polyrhiza (greater duckweed)
Lineage: Eukaryota; Viridiplantae; Streptophyta; Magnoliopsida; Alismatales; Araceae
Description: long non-coding RNA (SPOL_LNC001278)
Source: RNAcentral